UACAGAGGGUGCAAACGUUGUUCGGAAUUACUGGGCGUAAAGCGUGCGUAGGCGGUUUGUUAAGACAGGUGUGAAAUCCCCGGGCUUAACCUGGGAACUGCGCUUGUUACUGGCAGACUUGAGUGUGGCAGAGGGGGGUGGAAUUCCACGUGUAGCAGUGGAAUGCGUAGAGAUGUGGAGGAACACCGAUGGCGAAGGCAGCCCCCUGGGCUAACACUGACGCUGAUGCACGAAAGCGUGGGGAGCAAACAGG
This 253-nucleotide ribosomal RNA is filed under the name uncultured bacterium. Its description in RNAcentral is "partial 16S ribosomal RNA". It matches the Rfam family "Bacterial small subunit ribosomal RNA", at positions 524 to 776 of the family's 1533-position model. The record is from RNAcentral.